AAUAGAAUCUCAUUUGAAUAUGGGAUAACAACACUUCUCCCAUCGUUCAUGAAGGCUGAGGAGACAAAGACUUGGGAAGAGGAAGGAAAAUAAUAUGGUGGAUACAAGGGAGAAGAAGCCCAAGCCUUGCAUCUGGAUUGGAAUCGUGACAUAUUUUCAUAUCUAUCUGGAGUACAUUCAACUUUACAGAUGAACUUUGGAUUUUUAGUUGCUAAAUGUUUUCCUAAAUACUAAUACAUUUCUUAACUCAUGAAACCAAACAAUCUUUAGUUUUAGCCUAACAAUAUAUGAUUUUACUCAUGGGUGUGGGGAGGUGGGCCUCUUCCUGUCCAGUAAGGUAAUUUCUGGACAAUAUUUCUGCCCAUUUAGGGGACCCCUUUAAGCUCAAGAGCACCCCCAGUGGCAAGAUAUGUGUAGCCUCUUUAGAACCUAUUUAUAACUAUACAGUACAUGGCAGGUGUUGGUGGAGGUUACUUCUGUGAUAUAAUUUGACACUUUCUCAAUCAAUUGCUCUAUAACAUUCAUUAAA
Salvelinus fontinalis (brook trout) is the source of this 529-nucleotide long non-coding RNA. RefSeq lists it as uncharacterized. NCBI's taxonomy places the organism in Eukaryota, Metazoa, Chordata, Actinopteri, Salmoniformes, Salmonidae. The transcript has 4 exons. The record is from RefSeq and is a predicted model, not a curated record.